RNAcentral lists this ribosomal RNA (379 nucleotides) under uncultured bacterium. Its description in RNAcentral is "bacterial SSU rRNA". It matches the Rfam family "Bacterial small subunit ribosomal RNA", at positions 30 to 412 of the family's 1533-position model. The record is from RNAcentral.
AUUGAACGCUGGCGGCAUGCCUUACACAUGCAAGUCGAACGGCAGCGCGGGGCAACCUGGCGGCGAGUGGCGAACGGGUGAGUAAUAUAUCGGAACAUACCCUAGAGUGGGGAUAACGUAGCGAAAGUUACGCUAAUACCGCAUACGCACUAAGGUGGAAAGUGGGGGAUCUUCGGACCUCAUGCUCAUGGAGUGGCCGAUAUCUGAUUAGCUAGUUGGUGAGGUAAAGGCUCACCAAGGCGACGAUCAGUAGCUGGUUUUGAGAGAACGACCAGCCACACUGGAACUGAGACACGGUCCAGACUCCUACGGAGGCAGCAGUGGGGAAUUUUGGACAAUGGGGGCAACCCUGAUCCAGCAAUGCCGCGUGCGGGAAGAA